ACGUAGGGUGCGAGCGUUAAUCGGAAUUACUGGGCGUAAAGCGUGCGCAGGCGGUUCGUUGUGUCGGUGGUGAAAUCCCCGGGCUCAACCUGGGAAUGGCGAUGGAUACUGGCGAGCUAGAGUGUGUCAGAGGAUGGUGGAAUUCCCGGUGUAGCGGUGAAAUGCGUAGAGAUCGGGAGGAACAUCAGUGGCGAAGGCGGCCAUCUGGGACAACACUGACGCUGAAGCACGAAAGCGUGGGGAGCAAACAGGA
RNAcentral lists this ribosomal RNA (253 nucleotides) under uncultured prokaryote. RNAcentral describes it as "partial 16S ribosomal RNA". It matches the Rfam family "Bacterial small subunit ribosomal RNA", at positions 525 to 777 of the family's 1533-position model. The record is from RNAcentral.